Molecule: transfer RNA, 85 nt
Filed under: Clostridium sp.
Lineage: Bacteria; Bacillati; Bacillota; Clostridia; Eubacteriales; Clostridiaceae
Also listed under: 7 other names
Description: tRNA-Leu
Rfam family: tRNA
About the family: Transfer RNA (tRNA) molecules are approximately 80 nucleotides in length. Their secondary structure includes four short double-helical elements and three loops (D, anti-codon, and T loops).
Source: RNAcentral
GCAGGUGUGGCGAAAUUGGCAGACGCACUAGACUUAGGAUCUAGCGGAGCAAUCCAUGGGGGUUCAAGUCCCUUCACCUGCACCA